Molecule: non-coding RNA, 369 nt
Organism: Cherax quadricarinatus
Lineage: Eukaryota; Metazoa; Arthropoda; Malacostraca; Decapoda; Parastacidae
Source: RefSeq, a predicted model, not a curated record
UUACAAAGGAAACAUGGAGAAGAAAAGUGCGGUUUUCCUUGAAAUCGAUGAAGAUAUAAAAGAAAUAAGCUAUUUUUAGAGGGCAGUGCACCACAGGAGCUGGACACUCUAUUUCCCAAGCCUUCGUCCUAUGAACGAGCUACUACCAUCAAACCUAAGCAUGGUUGCUGUGUGAAGACCCAUGAUAACGAGAAGAAAAAGGUGUUUAUCAACAUUUGCACCUCAGAUGCCAUCAGUGCCCCUGAAGACAUAACUGAUGAUGAACUGAUUGCUAUCCUGGAGUCAGAAGCAGCAUCAGACUUCCGCGUGCCUAUGUCUAUUGGCGAACCUCACAAUGAAAAGGCGAAAUGUAAGAUAAUUUAUAGUAUG